GUACACGCUGUGACUAGCAUAUCAAUAAGCGGAGGAAAAGAAACUAACAAGGAUUCCCCUAGUAACGGCGAGUGAAGCGGGAAGAGCUCAAAUUUGAAAUCUUAAAGGGUUUCCCUUUACGAAUUGUAGUUUAAAGAAGUGUUUUCUGUUGAGGUUUUGGUAAAAGUUCUUUGGAAUAGGACAUCAUAGAGGGUGAGAAUCCCGUAUUUGACCUUUACUUUCAACUUUGUGAUACACUUUCAAAGAGUCGGAUUGUUUGGGAAUGCAGUCCAAAAUGGGUGGUAAAUUUCAUCUAAAGCUAAAUAUUGGCGAGAGACCGAUAGCGAACAAGUACCGUGAGGGAAAGAUGAAAAGAACUUUCGAAAAGAGAGUUAAACAGUACGUGAAAUUGUCAAAAGGGAAGCGUUUGACACCAGUGUUGUUUUUCUGAAAAUCAAUUAAAGAACUGUUUAUGCUAAGCUGUUUAGACUUUAUCAGCUAACUGUUUAGUUUUGAGCUUUUCUUUAAUGCACCUUUCAGUUAACAAGUCAACAUCAAUUUCUUUUGCUGUAAAAAAGCUUGAGGAAGGUGGCUUGAGAUUCGUCUUAAGUGUUUAUAGCCUCUUGCCUAUGCAGUCGGAGAGAUUGAGGUCUGCAGCGUAGAUCCUUCGGGGCUAAAUGCAUUUGUGCUAAGUUAUAACAUUUUAUAGACAACUUGUUGACUAUGAUUUGUCUUGUAGCUUACUCGCUUAUGUUAUUUUACCUACGCUUAGGAUGUUGACGAGACUGUCGAUCUC
This 775-nucleotide ribosomal RNA is filed under the name uncultured Neocallimastigales. RNAcentral's name for it is "partial large subunit ribosomal RNA". It matches the Rfam family "Eukaryotic large subunit ribosomal RNA", at positions 22 to 646 of the family's 3401-position model. Lineage: Eukaryota; Fungi; Neocallimastigomycota; Neocallimastigomycetes; Neocallimastigales. The record is from RNAcentral.